This is a long non-coding RNA of Choloepus didactylus (southern two-toed sloth), 240 nucleotides long. RefSeq lists it as uncharacterized. NCBI's taxonomy places the organism in Eukaryota, Metazoa, Chordata, Mammalia, Pilosa, Megalonychidae. The record is from RefSeq and is a predicted model, not a curated record. The transcript is spliced from 3 exons.
CCAUGUUACAUUCCUACCAGCAAUGUAUGAGGAGAGAAGCCCCAAGCAGAGAGAGCUAAGGUGCAGGAGGUCGACCAGUUGCCGCAAAGCCAGAGUUCAACCAGCUUACAAUAUAACAGAUCCUUCUUCAGACACUGCAUCUGCCUUCCAGACAGAAAGGAAGAGUGAGCGAAAUGGACAAUGGGCAUCUCUUCUCAAGGACUUCCAUCAACAUUUCUUUGAACUUUGUCAUGUGGCCAC